Daphnia pulex (common water flea) is the source of this 1062-nucleotide long non-coding RNA. RefSeq lists it as uncharacterized. Lineage: Eukaryota; Metazoa; Arthropoda; Branchiopoda; Diplostraca; Daphniidae. The record is from RefSeq and is a predicted model, not a curated record. The transcript has 5 exons.
AUAACAUAGCCUAAAAUUUAUACUUGGCAAAUCCAUCUGAUAAUGUGGCCUGAAACAGCUGUAUAUUUUCCCAAAAUGUCUCUUGCUGCAAGCCCCGGCUGUGCGUUUCGUCUCAUGUAGAAAUACUCCACAACAGUAAAAGUUAUCAUUGUGGUGAAGUCUGAGCUUCUUCAUUGCAGUCCAAUGCGCUGUGCUGUGCAAUUUGUUGCAGCCAGCUGGCGAAAGGGGUUCUUCUUGCAGGCUUGCUACCUGUAGCGUUUGUAGCUUUGUCAGAUUCAGAAACACUUCCGAACAAUUUAAAAGUAGGAUUAGCAGCCUCUUGAGGUCUGAGUUGCAGUCCAAUGUGUACAUGAAUUUUGUGCAGCCAGCUAGUAAACAGUGUGGUGAGCUGUUGCAUGCAGACUGCGGUGUUGGUGUCGUUCGUUCAUUUAACUUUGGACCGUUCAGUCGUUCGUUUAUCGUAAGAAAUCUGUCACUUGUCGUAGAUCACCGUGGUCAGUUUUAUUGUUGAGCUGUUUAUGGUGUUGCUGUUUGGGGUACAGUGGUUUUGCAGUCAUUUUCCAGUUGAGAGAUGCGCUGAAAUGGAGCUUGUGCAGACUUGCAGUUGAACACCAUACUUUAAUGUGUCAUUUUCCUAUGUUGGUGUCCAUGCAGUGGUGAUCUGUUGUGGAAAAUAGUCGAUGUUGCCUGAUGGCUGUUGGGCUUAUUUUAUCGGCAGCAUUUUGUCGAUCUGUCGUCGCUUGCCACCUGUACCGCCAUUGAGUUGAUUCGUUUGCCGCCGAACUGUUGAAACUAAGAAGACGUUGCUGAAAUUCAAGAUUGAUCAAUUAAUAAUGUUUAUAAAUUAAAAGUGCAUAUCUGGGCUCCCUUCUUCAGUGGCCCCGUUUCCCUAAAUAACCACUUACCAACGCCCGCCGGUGGUCACUCACUCGCUGCGACUACCAGGAGGAAGGGAGAUGUUUGAUCGAACGGGGACUUGCAAGGCGCUUGAUUCGAUGAAAUCUGUUGGAGGGUCAUGAGUCUAAGCCGGAAGCCUACUAAUAUGAUGCAUUGAUUUCAUAA